AGACGUCUACAUUAGACUACCCCCGUAGUCCCAGCCGUAAACUAUGCUCGCUAGGUGUCAGGCAUGGCGCGACCGUGUCUGGUGCCGCAGGGAAGCCGUGAAGCGAGCCACCUGGGAAGUACGGCCGACGAAGGCUGAAACUUAAAGGAAUUGGCGGGGGAGCACAACAACGGGUGGAGCCUGCGGUUUAAUUGGACUCAACGCCGGACAACUCACCGGGACGACAGCAAUAUGUAGGCCAGGCUGAAGACCUUGCCUGAAUCGCUG
RNAcentral lists this ribosomal RNA (267 nucleotides) under uncultured archaeon. RNAcentral's name for it is "partial 16S ribosomal RNA". It matches the Rfam family "Archaeal small subunit ribosomal RNA", at positions 715 to 982 of the family's 1478-position model. The record is from RNAcentral.